GAGCAGCCCCUUCCCUCUCAGCCAAUCACUGGUCACAGCAGUGUCCAGUCUCAGCCAUUGAUUUACAGAAGAGGUCCAGGAGGAGAGGAAAUGAACAAGGGUAGGUGCAAGUUUUAACACGUCUACACCACCUUUUGGCUUGCUGCAUCCUUGCCUACAGCAUCUGAGCUACACCAUCCAUGUGUGCCAACAUGAGUUCAAAUACUGAAGGAGCCAGGGAAUAUGGGAGAACCAAUCCUGAACAGUACAACAAAGCGUGCUCUAUGAUUGUCAGUAGCAAUGUCUUGUCACUCAGAAG
Long non-coding RNA from Hyla sarda, 298 nucleotides. RefSeq lists it as uncharacterized. The record is from RefSeq and is a predicted model, not a curated record. Lineage: Eukaryota; Metazoa; Chordata; Amphibia; Anura; Hylidae. The transcript has 3 exons.